This 253-nucleotide ribosomal RNA is filed under the name uncultured bacterium. Its description in RNAcentral is "partial 16S ribosomal RNA". It matches the Rfam family "Bacterial small subunit ribosomal RNA", at positions 524 to 776 of the family's 1533-position model. The record is from RNAcentral.
UACAGAGGUGGCAAGCGUUGUUCGGAAUUACUGGGCGUAAAGGGCGCGUAGGCGGCCUUCUAAGUCAGACGUGAAAUCCCCCGGCUUAACCUGGGAACUGCGUCUGAUACUGGGAGGCUUGAGUAUGGGAGAGGGAUGUAGAAUUCCAGGUGUAGCGGUGAAAUGCGUAGAUAUCUGGAGGAACACCGGUGGCGAAGGCGGCGUCCUGGACCAACACUGACACUGAGGAGCGAAAGCCAGGGGAGCAAACGGG